This 333-nucleotide ribosomal RNA is filed under the name uncultured Candidatus Nostocoida sp. RNAcentral's name for it is "bacterial SSU rRNA". It matches the Rfam family "Bacterial small subunit ribosomal RNA", at positions 568 to 898 of the family's 1533-position model. Lineage: Bacteria; Bacillati; Actinomycetota; Actinomycetes; Micrococcales; Intrasporangiaceae. The record is from RNAcentral.
CGUGUAGGCGGGACGGCACGUCGGUCGCUGAAAUCCCCCGGCUCAACCGGGGAACGGGCGCCGAUACGACCGCCCUGGAGGGACGUAGGGGGACCUGGAACUUCCGGUGGAGCGGUGAAAUGCGUUGAGAUCGGAAGGAACGCCCGUGGCGAAAGCGAGGUCCUGGACGUUUUCUGACGCUGAGACGCGAAAGCCAGGGGAGCGAACGGGAUUAGAUACCCCGGUAGUCCUGGCCGUAAACGAUGGGCACUGGGUAGGGGGCUCGCCGAUGGGCUCCCUGCCGUAGGGAAACCGUGAAGUGCCCCGCCUGGGGAGUAUGGUCGCAAGGCUGAA